Asparagus officinalis (garden asparagus) is the source of this 2742-nucleotide long non-coding RNA. RefSeq lists it as uncharacterized. The transcript has 5 exons. The record is from RefSeq and is a predicted model, not a curated record. Lineage: Eukaryota; Viridiplantae; Streptophyta; Magnoliopsida; Asparagales; Asparagaceae.
CCGGGUGCAGCUCCGCUUAUUUGCGCCCGACUGGAGACAGAGAGGAGGGAACCGAAUCGCUCUCGUUCUGUCCUCCCUCCGCUCACAGGGACUACUAGUACCCAGCACUCCGAACCUAAACCCAGGGGAGGGGAAGGGGAAGCGAUCGAGUCAUGGUUUCGUACCGCUACCGAUCUAAGGUCGGCCAUAUCGGGAUCAUCAGCAAGAGGAUGAAGAUCGUAAGAUUCUGGAAGCGAUUGACGAGAACAUGGAUGGGAUUUGGAACUGUUUUGGAGCAUGCCCAUAGUUUCUUUGAAGUAUUUGAGUCGGAAUCUGGAGAUCAUUAAACAGGUGAUGCCAAUGUGACCCGAAGCCAAUCUGAUGUGCAUAAUAGGCAUUGUACCAUUCUUGGAGUCAACGAGCUCCUAAAAGGAUCGAGAUCUCGGCCACCUAUACUAAAUGCAGACUCAGAAGCCAUCAUUGAGAUAGACACAACUAAUAUAUCACGAACCAUUCGGGAGAGGAUUUAAUUAGAACCCAUUCCCCGUCAAUUGGCAUCAGAGCAAGAUCACUGGUUCACAAUAAUCAUUGGGUAAAAAGGAGAAGCUCAGGAUUGAUGGUUUCACAAUUAUUCUAGUCAUCAUUCAUAUAUACGUUCGUGGGCACCGACGAAGUUUCUGCGUGGAAGGAGGUAUUCUGGUUAUCCAACUAGAACUAGAAAACAUUACUUUUGUUUUUCAAGCCCAAAACAAAAGUGUAUGAGACUCGGUCAGAUGUGGGUCAACAAUAUGAACCCCCAAGUCAAAUCCAGAGUCAAAAUUGAAGCCGACACCAAAACCGGAAGUGGAACCUGAACCAGAUUUUGAACCAGAACUAGAUCAUGAAGCCAAUCCAGUGUCAUAAUAUGAACAAGAUCUAGAAGAAGAAGAAAAUCAGAAGAUAGAUUCAGAGCACGAAUUGAACUCGAGUCCAAACCAAAAACUGAGCAAAAGGUUGACCCAGAGGCGGAGCUUGAAUCAAACUCAAAACCUGAGUCCUAAGUUGAAGUGCAGCUCGAGAUACUUCCUAUCGACAAUAAUUCUAUAAUAGAAUUUGUCAUUCCAAAUCCUCCGCCAUCUACACAUUAUCGAAUUAUGCAAAUAAUUUUAAAGAUCGUGCAGUGCAAACAACAAUACUACCCACUGAUUGAAGGAAUUUUUGUACUCUCCCUUCAUAAAACUCGAGGUCAAGUUUUCUCUAACAUGACAAGUUAAGAUUGAGUUAGUUUUAUUUGGUAAUUUAGUUUGGAUUUCAUUUAGGAGAUCUUAUUUUAGUUGAUAGGGAUUUGCAAUUUACGAAUUAAUCUUUUUAGGUGUUUUGUUAGAUAUUUGGUUAGGAUAAUAUUUUCAGUUUUAUUAGAUGAGGUUUAGGUGAUUUGAUGUUAUCUUUAUUGUUAACUUUGUUAUAUAAAUAAGUUGUAUCCUCUAUGAUGAAAGACCAUUGAUUGAUGAAUAAAGUUAUGGUUAUGUGAGAAUUUUGGAAUAGUUCCUCAAGGUGUGUAGCCAUUUAUUCAUAUGCUAGAUGUUGUGAGUGAAUCCGAUCCUAAUUUAUCUGUUUUUUACCUUAGAUUUCUUUCCCAAAAAAGCUACUGUUCACAGACUAUUCAAGUGGUUACUGUUCACUCGGUAUUGUUCAUCAUCUUCCGGUGAUCAUCCAAUCCAUUUUCCAGCAGCCUUUUCAAUUUUAAAUUCAAUCAAAAACCAUUGCCCGUCAAGGAGCUUCAUGCACUGGCCUGUCUUUUGGGUUGUCCCUCUCCUUUUUUUUCGAAAGAACAGGAAAAAGGUAAACGGAUUUAUCUAUUCAUAAAAUAUAUGGUAUGAUGCUGGUAAUAAAUUAAUAAUGUUUAUCGACUUCCAAAUCUUUCCAUGUUACUCACUUCGUCAUCUCCUUUUAUGGUGACAGAUCUUGUUUUUUUCGUGUAGGAUUUUAUCCUUUUUGUGCAUUCCCUUGGGAUAACCGAAACUUUGUAAAUUUAGGUUAUAUGCAUUCCUCUUCAUAGGAGAAUGGUCAGGUGCGAGAUUUGAAGUAAUAACUAGGUAACUGUUUUGCAGCAUGAGAAUCCAGACAUUAAGAUGUUAGCGCAAGGCUGUAGCCAACAGAAAAUGACAUCGAAUUUUGCACUUGGUUGCUCAUCAAACCUACUGUGUCAGUUUUCAGAAUUAAGAUCAGACAACUAAAUUGCAUGACUAUAUCCAAGAUGCAUCAGUGUGGUUAAUUAAUGUUGUACAAAGUACAUAUCAAUAUGGUCUACUUGCGCACGCAGUGCCACCAUUUUUAAAAAUCAGAAGAAAUGGAAAAAUGGGAAAAUAAUCUAAAUUUCAUAAUGUAAUGUGCCAAGUUACCAACAAUUAUUUGCAAUAAGAUCAGUGAUUAACGGUAGAUGAAAGAUCACAUUAAAGACAAAGUCAAUUAGAAGUAGUAAGCUAAUAUGCUCCUAACUAAAUAAGAAGCUAACAAUUAACAAGCAUGAGGAAAAUUGUAAGUAAUACAGUGAAAAUUGAUCCUUCUGUUCUCUCGCAGAAAAAUAAAAAUAAAAAUAAAAAAUAAAACAAAAUGGUAACAAAAUAUGUAGUAUGACAAGAUCAUUGCCUUCUGCAUUGAUAUGCGUCCGAUGUUAACCUGCAUUACAGUAUUUUCGAUUUAUGUGUGGCAAAGGACCAUAUAAAAUCUGCAGCUGAUCAUAGUGGGUAUAAUGAUUAUGAACAAUACUUCUUGUUGUAAAGA